UACGGAGGGUGCAAACGUUGCUCGGAAUCAUUGGGCGUAAAGCGCUCGUAGGUGGCCUGUUAAGUCGGGUGUGAAAUCCCUGGGCUCAACCCAGGAAGUGCACUCGAAACUGGCAGGCUUGAGUACUGAAGAGGGUCGCGGAAUUCCCGGUGUAGAGGUGAAAUUCGUAGAUAUCGGGAGGAACACCAGUGGCGAAGGCGGCGACCUGGGCAGAUACUGACACUGAGGUGCGAAAGCGUGGGGAGCAAACAGG
RNAcentral lists this ribosomal RNA (253 nucleotides) under uncultured bacterium. RNAcentral describes it as "partial 16S ribosomal RNA". It matches the Rfam family "Bacterial small subunit ribosomal RNA", at positions 524 to 776 of the family's 1533-position model. The record is from RNAcentral.